GAUGAACGCUGGCGGCGUGCCUAACACAUGCAAGUCGAGCGAUUCUCUUCGGAGAAGAGCGGCGGACGGGUGAGUAACGCGUGGGUAACCUGCCCUGUACACACGGAUAACAUACCGAAAGGUAUGCUAAUACGAGAUAAUAUGCUUUUAUCGCAUGGUAGAAGUAUCAAAGCUUUUGCGGUACAGGAUGGUCCCGCGUCUGAUUAGCUAGUUGGUAAGGUAACGGCUUACCAAGGCGACGAUCAGUAGCCGACCUGAGAGGGUGAUCGGCCACAUUGGAACUGAGACACGGUUCAAACUCCUACGGGAGGCAGCAGUGGGGAAGAUUGCACAAUGGGCGAAAGCCUGAUGCAGCAACGCCGCGUGAGCGAUGAAGGCCUUCGGGUCGUAAAGCUCUGUCCUCAAGGAAGAUAAUGACGGUACUUGAGGAGGAAGCCCCGGCUAACUACGUGCCAGCCGCCGCGGUAA
This 468-nucleotide ribosomal RNA is filed under the name uncultured bacterium. RNAcentral describes it as "partial 16S ribosomal RNA". It matches the Rfam family "Bacterial small subunit ribosomal RNA", at positions 28 to 523 of the family's 1533-position model. The record is from RNAcentral.